CGGGGCUCGUCAAAGGGCGGGGUUUAGAGUCCCCGAGGCUACACAGCCAAAGCCCGGGGGCUGGCCUAGCCAAAAGGGGCGGGCGAGCACGGCCCGCGGGCGGCGUUCGCUGGAGCUGGUGGACCGGGCGGCUGACCGAGGGGCGGACGCGCGGCGGGGCAGACCGCUGGGGACUGCGGGCGGCGCUGUGUCCGUCGCCAUGACAGAUCAGACCUAUUGUGACCGCCUGGUGCAGGACACGC
Molecule: long non-coding RNA, 242 nt
Filed under: Pan troglodytes (chimpanzee)
Lineage: Eukaryota; Metazoa; Chordata; Mammalia; Primates; Hominidae
Description: long non-coding RNA NONPTRT017544
Source: RNAcentral